Molecule: RNA transcript, 4035 nt
Organism: Nomascus leucogenys (northern white-cheeked gibbon)
Lineage: Eukaryota; Metazoa; Chordata; Mammalia; Primates; Hylobatidae
Gene: OGDHL
Gene name: oxoglutarate dehydrogenase like
Exons: 23
Source: RefSeq, a predicted model, not a curated record
CAGGGGCGCGCGCCCGUGGGCGGCUGCGUCACGUGACCCAGGUAAUUGGCACGGCGCGCGCGCAGCCCUUCCGCGCAGCCCCCUGACCUGCAGCCUCCGGACCUCGCUGCAGCGCGGACCCCGCCCGCCCGCCCGAAUGAGUCAGCUGAGGCUGCUGCCGUCCCGUCUUGGGGCACAGGCUGCAAGGCUCUUGGCUGCACAUGACGUCCUGGUGUUUGGCUGGCGCAGCAGGUCCUCCGGGCCACCGGCCACCUUCCCAAGCAGCAAAGGUGGAGGCGGCUCCAGUUACAUGGAGGAGAUGUACUUCGCCUGGUUGGAAAACCCCCGGAGUGUCCACAAGUCCUGGGACAGCUUCUUCCGGAAAGCCAGCAAGGAAGCCUUUUCUGGCUCUGCUCAGCCACGGCCCCCUUCUGUUGUCCAUGAGAGCAGGUCUGCAGUCUCAAGUCGGACCAAGACCAGCAAGUUGGUGGAGGACCACCUGGCCGUGCAGUCCCUGAUCCGGGCAUACCAGAUCCGGGGUCACCAUGUGGCCCAGCUGGACCCCCUGGGCAUUCUGGAUGCAGACCUGGACUCCUUCGUGCCCUCAGACUUGAUCACAACCAUUGAUAAACUGGCCUUCUAUGACCUGCAGGAGGCUGACCUUGAUAAGGAGUUCCAGCUGCCGACGACCACCUUCAUUGGGGGCUCUGAAAACACCCUCUCUCUGCGGGAGAUCAUUCGGCGCCUGGAGAACACCUACUGCCAGCACAUUGGCCUGGAGUUCAUGUUCAUCAACGAUGUGGAGCAGUGCCAGUGGAUCCGGCAGAAGUUUGAGACCCCUGGUGUGAUGCAGUUCUCCAGUGAGGAGAAGCGGACACUGCUGGCCCGGCUGGUGCGCUCCAUGAGGUUUGAAGACUUCCUGGCCCGGAAAUGGUCCUCGGAGAAGCGGUUUGGCCUGGAGGGCUGUGAAGUGAUGAUUCCUGCCCUCAAGACCAUCAUCGACAAAUCCAGUGAGAUGGGGAUCGAGAAUGUCAUCUUGGGGAUGCCACACAGGGGAAGGCUGAACGUGCUGGCCAACGUGAUCCGCAAGGACCUGGAGCAGAUCUUCUGCCAGUUUGACCCCAAGCUGGAGGCGGCGGACGAGGGCUCCGGGGACGUCAAGUACCACCUGGGCAUGUACCAUGAGAGGAUCAACCGCGUCACCAACCGGAACAUCACUCUGUCGCUGGUUGCCAACCCCUCCCACCUGGAGGCAGUGGACCCUGUGGUGCAGGGGAAGACAAAGGCAGAGCAGUUCUACCGUGGAGAUGCCCAGGGCAAGAAGGUCAUGUCCAUCCUGGUUCAUGGGGACGCCGCCUUUGCUGGCCAGGGCGUGGUAUAUGAGACCUUCCACCUGAGCGACCUGCCCUCCUACACUACCAACGGUACCGUGCACGUCGUCGUCAACAACCAGAUUGGAUUCACCACAGACCCCCGAAUGGCCCGCUCCUCACCAUACCCGACUGACGUGGCCCGGGUGGUCAAUGCGCCCAUCUUCCACGUGAACGCCGAUGACCCAGAGGCUGUGAUAUACGUGUGCAGUGUGGCAGCCGAAUGGAGAAACACUUUCAACAAAGAUGUUGUCGUGGACCUGGUCUGUUACCGCCGGCGCGGCCACAAUGAGAUGGACGAGCCCAUGUUCACCCAGCCGCUCAUGUACAAGCAGAUCCACAGACAGGUGCCUGUGCUGAAGAAGUAUGCAGACAAACUGAUUGCCGAGGGCACAGUCACCCUGCAGGAGUUUGAGGAAGAAAUUGCCAAAUAUGACCGGAUCUGUGAGGAGGCUUAUGGCAGGUCCAAGGAUAAAAAGAUCCUGCAUAUAAAGCACUGGUUGGACUCCCCCUGGCCUGGCUUCUUCAACGUAGAUGGGGAGCCCAAAAGCAUGACGUGCCCAGCCACGGGGAUCCCUGAGGACAUGCUCACUCACAUCGGCAGUGUGGCCAGCUCUGUGCCCCUGGAGGACUUUAAGAUCCACACCGGCCUCUCUCGCAUUCUGCGGGGCCGUGCGGACAUGACCAAGAACCGGACGGUGGACUGGGCAUUGGCAGAGUACAUGGCCUUUGGCUCCCUGCUGAAGGAGGGCAUCCACGUGCGGCUCAGCGGGCAGGAUGUGGAGAGGGGCACGUUCAGUCACCGGCACCACGUUCUCCAUGACCAGGAGGUUGACCGCAGGACGUGUGUGCCUAUGAAUCAUCUCUGGCCUGACCAGGCCCCGUACACCGUGUGCAACAGCUCCCUCUCGGAGUACGGAGUCCUGGGCUUUGAGCUGGGCUAUGCCAUGGCCAGCCCCAAUGCCCUGGUCCUCUGGGAGGCCCAGUUUGGGGACUUCCACAACACGGCCCAGUGCAUCAUCGACCAGUUCAUCAGCACCGGCCAGGCCAAGUGGGUGCGGCAUAACGGCAUUGUGCUGCUGCUGCCCCAUGGCAUGGAAGGCAUGGGCCCAGAGCACUCAUCAGCGAGGCCCGAGAGGUUCCUGCAGAUGAGCAAUGACGACUCGGAUGCCUACCCUGCAUUCACCAAGGACUUCGAGGUGAGCCAGCUCUAUGACUGCAACUGGAUCGUGGUCAACUGCUCCACACCGGCCAACUACUUCCACGUGCUGCGCCGGCAGAUCCUGCUGCCCUUCCGCAAGCCGCUGAUUAUCUUCACACCUAAAUCUCUGCUGAGGCACCCAGAGGCCAAGUCCAGCUUUGACCAAAUGGUAUCCGGGUGCUUCUCAUUGUACCCCCGUCUCCGGUCACCUUAAACGUGAUGCUUCCAGGGCUCAACCCUUGGGUGUCUCCACCCCUCUCCCUAUGACAGCUCAGGGUGUCAUCUGCCCCCUGCUCCAUUUUUUAGUUCAAGAGGUGUCCACUGCAGCCACAGGUCCAAACCUGCAGUUGGUGUCAGUGGCUAAGGAGAGCCUGGGGAUGCAGGCCUGGUCCUGAGCUGCCCCAGCCCCUCUGGGUACCAACACCUCUGCCGUGUCCUGUUGGUCCCUCAGGGACCAGCUUCCAGCGGGUGAUUCCUGAAGAUGGGGCCGCAGCACGGGCCCCUGAGCAGGUGCGGCGGCUCAUCUUCUGCACGGGAAAGGUGUACUAUGACCUGGUGAAGGAGCGGAGCAGCCAGGGCCUGGAGGAGAAAGUGGCCAUCACGCGCCUGGAGCAGAUCUCUCCAUUCCCCUUCGACCUGAUCAAGCAGGAGGCAGAGAAGUACCCAGGUGCGGAGCUGGCCUGGUGUCAGGAGGAGCACAAGAACAUGGGCUACUAUGACUACAUCAGCCCACGCUUCAUGACCAUCCUGAGGCGUGCGCGGCCCAUAUGGUAUGUUGGCCGGGACCCAGCGGCUGCACCAGCCACAGGAAACAGGAACACUCACCUGGUGUCACUGAAGAAGUUUCUGGAUACUGCCUUCAAUCUCCAGGCCUUUGAGGGCAAGACAUUUUAGAGCUGGGCAAGACCUGUGUAGGUCUUGCUGUGGGUCGGCUGGGGACCAAGGGGGUGAUGAAAAGGGGAGGGGCGGAGCUCCUGCCCAGGAGAGGGGCUGCGGGGGCCCCAGGAUAAAACAGACUCACACAGUGACAGGGCCAAAGAGCCAGCACUGCUGGCCUUGGUGUCAUGCCAGAAUCUACCAGGACUGAGGGAGCCAGAGGAGUCCUAUAGGCAGGCUACUGUGCUGGGGCAUCCCCCAGCUGCUCCCAUCUUGCUGGAAUUUCUUGGGCGGCUUCUCCACCUGUGUCUCAAGACAGACACCCGGGGGCCUGUGUCUGUGGCCGCUCCCAUCCUGGCAGCCCUGGCUGCCGCUCGCCCCACCCUCACUCAUCUGUAGAUUCAAAGCGAUGUUCUCUUCUGUGCUCUUAUAAGUAGGGAGUUCAGCAGUAAUAGCCAGGUGAAGUGAACCUGCUGGGUGAUGUGUUUGCGCUCUGUUUUAUGGGGCAUUCCUGCGAGAUGUGUGAGCUUCUGUGUGAAAUGCAGCCACAGCUCGUGUACCAAAGUAGAAAACCAAAUCACAGAGAAAUAAAAACAUGCUUCAGAGAGA